Rosa chinensis is the source of this 320-nucleotide long non-coding RNA. RefSeq lists it as uncharacterized. Lineage: Eukaryota; Viridiplantae; Streptophyta; Magnoliopsida; Rosales; Rosaceae. The transcript has 3 exons. The record is from RefSeq and is a predicted model, not a curated record.
CUACCCCAGGUGCUGUUGUUGUGUCGAUUUUUGGCAAGGAAUAUGACCAAGCUCAUUUGUGUGUUCUUCAAAACACCAUUGAAUUCAGAAGCUAUUUUGUGGAACACAUGGAGUAUCUGAAGAGGGAGUUUCCAAACUACAAAAAGAAUGGAAAGUGGCUGGUUGAGAAACAAAACCAGACUUUUGCUGAUUGGGUGAAGGAGAGGGUUGCCUCUAUGCUUAAUGAACCUGAUUGUGACAUCCCCGAGAUUGUGAGGUGGCUAGCAGAUAAACCAGGGAAUGAAAUACCAAAGUUUAGUGGCUAAAGAAUAGGGGGAGUC